This is a long non-coding RNA of Hemicordylus capensis (graceful crag lizard), 839 nucleotides long. RefSeq lists it as uncharacterized. The record is from RefSeq and is a predicted model, not a curated record. The transcript has 3 exons. Lineage: Eukaryota; Metazoa; Chordata; Lepidosauria; Squamata; Cordylidae.
ACCUAGGUGCACCUCUGCUUCUGAAAGAGGGCAGACUGUUUGGAGCAAAGGUGUAUAUGGUUGGUUUGUGUAGUGCUGUAAGCAAAUGUGUGGUGUAAGCCAGUGUGGUGUAAGCCAAUGUGGUGUAGUGGUUAGAGUGCUGGACUAGGACCAGGAAGACCCGAGUUCAAAUCCCCAUUCAGCCAUGAAACUAGCUGGGUGACUCUGGGCCAGUCACUUCUCCCUCAGCCUAACCUACUUCACAGAGCGGUUGUGAAAGAGAAACUCAAGUAUGUAGUACACCGUUCUGGGCUCCUUGGAGGGAAAGCAGGAUAUAAAUGUAAUAAUAAUUAUAAUUGUAAUUAUAAUUAUAAGCCCAGAGGCAGCAAAUUUUCUUUAAUGUCUGUUUCCAUUCUGUCAGGUCUGCACCUCCACCCCUGUUUGCACCUCAGUCCACACCUCUGUCUGUACCUCCAUCCAUGCCUAUGUACAUAACUCUACAUAUACAGUACCUCCCCUGUAUCUCCAUCUCUCUCCAUCCACACCUCCAUAUGUACAUCGAUCGGCAUUUCGUCCCUAUGUUCCUCAAUCAUUUCAACCUCUGUCUGCACCUCCGUCUGUACAUGGGAUCGACGGCAGAAGGUAGUGCUAGCAGAGUCAAGGAAAGAAAGUUCGGGUGCGUGAAGUGAAGCUGGAGGAAGCGCAACUGAAGGGAGAGGAAGCGCAACUGAAGAAGAUUGACCUCUGUUCGUUUGUAAAUAAUCUUAUAUUAUCUGUAGAGCGCUGUAGAAAGUUCUGGUGUUGCUGUUAUUAUUAUUAUUAUUAUUAUUAUUAUUAUUAUUAAAUACAUACCUCCGAAA